This 451-nucleotide ribosomal RNA is filed under the name uncultured bacterium. Its description in RNAcentral is "partial 16S ribosomal RNA". It matches the Rfam family "Bacterial small subunit ribosomal RNA", at positions 28 to 507 of the family's 1533-position model. The record is from RNAcentral.
GAUGAACGCUGGCGGCGUGCCUAACACAUGCAAGUCGAGCGGCAGCGAGGGGUGCUUGCACCCUGUCGGCGAGCGGCGGACGGCUGAGUAACGCGUGGGAACGUGCCCCAAAGUGAGGAAUAACUGCCCGAAAGGGUAGCUAAUACCGCAUAUUAUCUUCGGAUCAAAGGAUUUAUCCGCUUUGGGAGCGGCUCGCGUCGGAUUAGGUAGUUGGUGAGGUAAUGGCUCACCAAGCCGACGAUCUGUAGCUGGUCUGAGAGGAUGACCAGCCAGACUGGAACUGAGACACGGUCCAGACUCCUACGGGAGGCAGCAGUGAGGAAUCUUCCACAAUGGGCGAAAGCCUGAUGGAGCAACGCCGCGUGCAGGACGAAGGCCUUCGGGUUGUAAACUGCUUUUAUAAGUGAGGAAUAUGACGGUAACUUAUGAAUAAGGAUCGGCUAACUACGUG